GACGAACGCUGGCGGCGUGCUCAACACAUGCAAGUCGAACGGAAAGGCCCUGCUUUUGUGGGGUGCUCGAGUGGCGAACGGGUGAGUAACACGUGAGUAACCUGCCCUUGACUUUGGGAUAACUUCAGGAAACUGGGCUAAUACCGGAUAGGAGCUCCUGCUGCCUGGUGGGGGUUGGAAAGUUUCGGCGGUUGGGGAUGGACUCGCGGCUUAUCAGCUUGUUGGUGGGGUAGUGGCUUACCAAGGCUUUGACGGGUAGCCGGCCUGAGAGGGUGACCGGCCACAUUGGGACUGAGAUACGGCCCAGACUCCUACGGGAGGCAGCAGUGGGGAAUAUUGCACAAUGGGCGGAAGCCUGAUGCAGCAACGCCGCGUGCGGGAUGACGGCCUUCGGGUUGUAAACCGCUUUCGCCUGUGACGAAGCGUGAGUGACGGUAAUGGGUAAAGAAGCACCGGCUAACUACGUG
Molecule: ribosomal RNA, 467 nt
Filed under: uncultured bacterium
Lineage: Bacteria
Description: partial 16S ribosomal RNA
Rfam family: Bacterial small subunit ribosomal RNA
Source: RNAcentral